GACGAACGCUGGCGGCGUGCCUAAUACAUGCAAGUUGAGCGCUGAAGGUUGGUACUUGUACCAACUGGAUGAGCAGCGAACGGGUGAGUAACGCGUGGGGAAUCUGCCUUUGAGCGGGGGACAACAUUUGGAAACGAAUGCUAAUACCGCAUAAAAACUUUAAACACAAGUUUUAAGUUUGAAAGAUGCAAUUGCAUCACUCAAAGAUGAUCCCGCGUUGUAUUAGCUAGUUGGUGAGGUAAAGGCUCACCAAGGCGAUGAUACAUAGCCGACCUGAGAGGGUGAUCGGCCACAUUGGGACUGGGACACGGCCCAAACUCCUACGGGAAGCAGCAGUAGGGAAUCUUCGGCAAUAGACGAAAGUCUGACCGAGCAACGCCGCGUGAGUGAAGAAGGGUUUCGGAUCGUAAAACUCUGUUGGUAGAGAAGAACGUUGGUGAGAGUGGAAAGCUCAUCAAGUGACGGUAACUACCCAGAAAGGGACGGCUAACUACGUG
This 497-nucleotide ribosomal RNA is filed under the name uncultured bacterium. RNAcentral describes it as "partial 16S ribosomal RNA". It matches the Rfam family "Bacterial small subunit ribosomal RNA", at positions 28 to 507 of the family's 1533-position model. The record is from RNAcentral.